GUGAAAAGUACGGUAUUUAGGAGUUAAAGCUGACAAAACUCCGUGGAAAAAUUUGAGACUCACAGAUGUUAUAGCAGAUAAGCUUCUGUCCUUUUCAUUCAAGCAUCCAAUAGAACAAGCUUGUGCAAAAUUCUGAUUGUUCUUGCAGAAAGUUUCCAAUGAAAAGAAAUUCUGCUGUGACAUCUACUUGUGAUACGUCAAGAAUUGGUCAUCAUCAACAAGUGGCCAAUAAUAAGGUUCUGUUACUCCAUGGAAUUCAUCUAAAAUAUAGUUUGAAAUAGAGCAUUAUUUUGCAAAAUGCUGAAAGUAAAAGAAUAAAGAAUUAAUAUGAAAACAUGCAAA
This is a non-coding RNA of Styela clava, 342 nucleotides long. Lineage: Eukaryota; Metazoa; Chordata; Ascidiacea; Stolidobranchia; Styelidae. The record is from RefSeq and is a predicted model, not a curated record.